UGGGUAACCUGCUUCAAAGAGGGGAAUAGCCUCCCGAAAGGGAGAUUAAUACCGCAUAAUAUGUUUAAGUCGCAUGACUUUAACAUCAAAGGAUUUUCUUUUAGAAAUUCCACUUUGAGAUGGACCCGCGGCGCAUUAGCUAGUUGGUGAGGUAACGGCUCACCAAGGCAACGAUGCGUAGCG
This 183-nucleotide ribosomal RNA is filed under the name uncultured bacterium. RNAcentral describes it as "partial 16S ribosomal RNA". It matches the Rfam family "Bacterial small subunit ribosomal RNA", at positions 118 to 288 of the family's 1533-position model. The record is from RNAcentral.